Long non-coding RNA from Alosa sapidissima (American shad), 1886 nucleotides. RefSeq lists it as uncharacterized. The record is from RefSeq and is a predicted model, not a curated record. Lineage: Eukaryota; Metazoa; Chordata; Actinopteri; Clupeiformes; Clupeidae. The transcript has 2 exons.
AAGACAACUUUUGAUCCUAUGGAAGUUUAAAGGCCCAAAUAAUAUAACAUUUACGAAGAACAUCUAUUGUAAAAUUGACGCUGAUCAAAAAAGCGAUUUGCUCCAUGGGAAAUAACGUUAAAUGUACCGUGGAUUUUCCGCUAAAGUUAUGAAUCACUGUGAUUUCUCCAUAGAACGACCAACCCCAAUCGGAAGGAUACACUGAAAGAGCAAUUAAGACGUCUAAAUCUAAGAAGUCAACCUAAAUUAAUCCGACAACAAGCUGUCGUGCUGACAGUUCCACCCGCUACUGUUGCAAAAGGUUUCGGGUCAAAUGUUGAGUCUUCCCAUUUCCCCCGUACCCUCAUCUUCACCUCAAGGCGGAAACUACGAUGUAUUCAAACGACAAAGCAUAUGCGUGGGUUCAUGCAAAGUGCGUGCACCGACGUUUACUAACCUGGCGAGCGAUGUGAGGGACAUUGACCAAUUACGACACAACAAAUCCUGACAAUUGAAUAGAUAAGUAUCCCCUCCUGCACUUUCAUUCACUGAUAAAAAGCUUUAAAAAUACAUAUUUUUAAAGAGAGCGUAACCGACUUAGACGAAUAAGUGUUAAUGAAACCUCAUUCUUAGAUGUAGUUCAUGUUGCGACAGCUAAAAUGCAAUAUUUAUUUCAGUGGGUGGGGAAUUACCUGAACAAUGACUUUUAAAUAAUUAAUGACUUUUAAUUAUAUGUAGGCUACUGUUUAGAAUAGGCUAUGAACUGGCUAAAUGCUUUUUAAUAUUACCUUCUUUUAAAACAACAGUUACACGGAUCAAGAUAAACAGUGGUAUUUAGUUUAAUAAAGUCUGUUUUUUCAUUAUUAUUAUUAUUAUUAUUAUUAUAUUUCAUCAUUUAUCAAUAGGCCUAUAGAACAAGAAAAGAACGAAUGAUAACAUCACCCUGGACAUGUUCCAUACGUGUUUUAGUCAAGCAUGUGACAUUACCUGCCUAUGAUAUCCUUUGUAACAAAAGCCCUGUGUCUGUUUCUCCUAACAUUUUUGCUAUCAUAUCAUACCGUGCACAUAAUCAUGUAGAAAUGCAACUACAUGUCAAUGUCAAAUAUAUAUUCAUAUUUAGCUGAGGGGCUGGUCCGAGGGAAAAGUUUAAUCUCCAUUGAAAGCCCUUGAAGAAUCUCUUCAAUUUACCAUGUGGCUCAAAAGAUUAUAUAAUCCUUAAGCAGUUUUGAAGCUUAUUUCUGAAUGUUACAUAAAAAUGUCAUCUUUGCAGGACUGUUGUACUCACACCCCUGGGAAUAAGACAUUGUGAUAAACUAACCAUACAGAUGGAUGUAGCAUUCUUAUCCAUACUGCAAGUCCUCCUUCCAUCAACAUCCAGAAUAAGAAUCAUCUGCUUGAACUGAAUCACCGGCCUGCAGCUGUCUCCUCUUGGUGUCUCCAACACACACACUUGCCAUGCUUGCAUUCGGACUUUAAGCUGAACUGCAGUUCAAACACCUCCAUGCCAUAUUAAGCCUGGGGAUGAGGUCUUCUAUAAAGCUCUUCUAUAAAGUUGCCCUUCUGACGGUCAAGAAUGACUACACAAAGCAUAUACCUUAGGGAGUGCUUGGUCAGUUAAAACACUGAAGAAAGUGUUUUUUAUUAUUAUUCUAAACUCUUUCAAAACUUAACUCUUUAAUGUUUAUUUAAAACAACUUUUACACAUCAUACAUUAUAUGACAUAAGGAAUAACAGAAGUGUUGAAGCAUAAUAUUAUUUUAAAAACUGUCGUAAUGCUUAAUUGUUUUUAAGCCACAAGAUGUGAUGAAUUACAAAACAGCGAAACAUCCUGAAACACUUUAAGAUUUCAGAUGCCUGCCGGGGAAGAAUUCACCAUGAAAGUAUCUUCAAAUAAAUAAAUAACACAA